Molecule: ribosomal RNA, 253 nt
Filed under: uncultured bacterium
Lineage: Bacteria
Description: partial 16S ribosomal RNA
Rfam family: Bacterial small subunit ribosomal RNA
Source: RNAcentral
UACGUAGGGGGCUAGCGUUGUUCGGAUUCAUUGGGCGUAAAGGGUGCGUAGGCGGCGCGGUAAGUCGGGUGUGAAAUCUCGGAGCUUAACUCCGAAACUGCAUUCGAUACUGCCGUGCUUGAGGACUGGAGAGGAGACUGGAAUUUACGGUGUAGCGGUGAAAUGCGUAGAUAUCGUAAGGAAGACCAGUGGCGAAGGCGGGUCUCUGGACAGUUCCUGACGCUGAGGCACGAAGGCCAGGGGAGCAAACGGG